Molecule: long non-coding RNA, 304 nt
Organism: Perca flavescens (yellow perch)
Lineage: Eukaryota; Metazoa; Chordata; Actinopteri; Perciformes; Percidae
Exons: 2
Source: RefSeq, a predicted model, not a curated record
AUCUCUAGAUUUACGUCUCCUCACGUCCCUUUUGGCGCUACAUCGGAACGUAGGCAGCCGUUAUUCACUCGGUGGAGGAGGUGGAGAUUUGAGAAGCGCUACACACGGGAGGUCCAGUCCAGAGAGUGAUAUUGGAUCACAUUGAUUCUUCAGAUCCCAGAGUCUUCCAGGGGUUACAGAUUCCCAGUUCAGUGGGCUGGGUGGCGAGCUAGAGGAUCAAGACUUAGAACUUAUACGGAUUGCCCUGGAUUCCUCCUAUGUGUAUGCCAUGUUUCUGUGUAUAUUAAUACACUUCUCAAACUUU